GGUCCUGUAGCUCAGUUGGUUAGAGUGUUGGUUUGAUAUGCCAAAGGUCAUGGGUUCAAGCCCCAUCGGGACCA
RNAcentral lists this transfer RNA (74 nucleotides) under Triticum aestivum (bread wheat). It matches the Rfam family "tRNA". Rfam says of the family: Transfer RNA (tRNA) molecules are approximately 80 nucleotides in length. Their secondary structure includes four short double-helical elements and three loops (D, anti-codon, and T loops). RNAcentral also lists the same sequence under 1 other name. The record is from Rfam by way of RNAcentral. Lineage: Eukaryota; Viridiplantae; Streptophyta; Magnoliopsida; Poales; Poaceae.